This 489-nucleotide ribosomal RNA is filed under the name uncultured bacterium. RNAcentral describes it as "SSU rRNA". It matches the Rfam family "Bacterial small subunit ribosomal RNA", at positions 26 to 521 of the family's 1533-position model. The record is from RNAcentral.
AGAGCGAACGCUGGCGGCGUGCUUAACACAUGCAAGUCGAACGAGGUCUGUAGCAAUACAGAUACUCGUGGCGAACGGGUGCGUAACACGUGGAUAACCUUCCUUCAGGUGGGGAAUAACCCAGUGAAAAUUGGGCUAAUACCGCAUAACAUGACGAUGCCACAUGGUGUUGUCUUCAAAGGCGCAAGUCGCCAGAAGAGGGAUCCGCGGCCGAUUAGCUAGUUGGCGAGGUAAUGGCUCACCAAGGCAAUGAUCGGUAGCCGGACUGAGAGGUUGGCCGGCCACACUGGAACUGAGACACGGUCCAGACUCCUACGGGAGGCAGCAGUGGGGAAUCUUGCACAAUGGACGAAAGUCUGAUGCAGCAACGCCGCGUGGGGGAUGAAGCUUUUCGGAGUGUAAACCCCUUUCGACCCGGAAGAAAGCCCGCAAGGGUUUGACGGUACGGGUAUAAGAAGCCCCGGCUAACUACGUGCCAGCAGCCGCGGU